Molecule: ribosomal RNA, 478 nt
Filed under: uncultured Planctomycetales bacterium
Lineage: Bacteria; Pseudomonadati; Planctomycetota; Planctomycetia; Planctomycetales
Description: bacterial SSU rRNA
Rfam family: Bacterial small subunit ribosomal RNA
Source: RNAcentral
UUUCGCAAUGCCCGAAAGGGUGACGAAGCGACGCCGCGUGUGGGAAGAAGGCCUUCGGGUUGUAAACCACUGUCGGGAGUUAAGAAAUGCAAGGAUAUGAAUAGUGUCUUUGCUUGACUAAGGCUCCGGAGGAAGCCACGGCUAACUCUGUGCCAGCAGCCGCGGUAAUACAGAGGCGGCAAGCGUUGUUCGGAAUUAUUGGGCGUAAAGAGCACGUAGGCGGCUAUGUAAGUCGGUUGUGAAAGCCUUCCGCUCAACGGGAGAACAGCAUCCGAUACUACAUGGCUUGAGUGCGGGAGGGGAGAGUGGAACUUCUGGUGGAGUGGUGAAAUGCGUAGAUAUCAGAAGGAACGCCGGCGGCGAAAGCGGCUCUCUGGCCCAUAACUGACGCUGAGUGUGCGAAAGCUAGGGGAGCAAACGGGAUUAGAUACCCCGGUAGUCCUAGCCGUAAACGAUGGGCACUAAGUAGAGGGGUUUU